AACGAACGCUGGCGGCAUGCCUAACACAUGCAAGUCGAACGAGACCUUCGGGUCUAGUGGCGCACGGGUGCGUAACGCGUGGGAACCUGCCCUUAGGUUCGGAAUAACUCCCCGAAAGGGGUGCUAAUACCGGAUAAUGUCUUCGGACCAAAGAUUUAUCGCCUUUGGAUGGGCCCGCGUUGGAUUAGCUAGUUGGUAGGGUAAAAGCCUACCAAGGCGACGAUCCAUAGCUGGUCUGAGAGAAUGAUCAGCCACACUGGGACUGAGACACGGCCCAGACUCCUACGGGAGGCAGCAGUGGGGAAUAUUGGACAAUGGGCGAAAGCCUGAUCCAGCAAUGCCGCGUGAGUGAUGAAGGCCUUAGGGUUGUAAAGCUCUUUUACCCGGGAUGAUAAUGACAGUACCGGGAGAAUAAGCUCCGGCUAACUCCGUG
RNAcentral lists this ribosomal RNA (433 nucleotides) under uncultured bacterium. Its description in RNAcentral is "partial 16S ribosomal RNA". It matches the Rfam family "Bacterial small subunit ribosomal RNA", at positions 29 to 507 of the family's 1533-position model. The record is from RNAcentral.